GUACCCUUAGCUCAGUUGGUUAGAGCAGACGACUCAUAACCGUUCGGUCGUAGGUUCGAGUCCUACAGGGUACA
This 74-nucleotide transfer RNA is filed under the name Bacteroides fragilis. Its description in RNAcentral is "tRNA-Ile". It matches the Rfam family "tRNA". From Rfam's summary of the family: Transfer RNA (tRNA) molecules are approximately 80 nucleotides in length. RNAcentral also lists the same sequence under 7 other names. The record is from RNAcentral. Lineage: Bacteria; Pseudomonadati; Bacteroidota; Bacteroidia; Bacteroidales; Bacteroidaceae.